This 908-nucleotide long non-coding RNA is filed under the name Anas platyrhynchos platyrhynchos (common mallard). Its description in RNAcentral is "lncRNA (ENSAPLG00000030050.1)". The record is from RNAcentral. Lineage: Eukaryota; Metazoa; Chordata; Aves; Anseriformes; Anatidae.
CUUUUAUAUUCUUUUGGCACUAUUCAGGAGUAGGUAUUGUAACAUUUAUAUCAUAAACUGGACAACUGGACUCAGAGAUGAAUUUCAGUGUGGCUAAGUGCAUGCAGGAAGUUGUAUAUUCAAACAAUUACAGGCAUCAAAUUAGCAAUUACAGAGGAAAAAGAUCGAGGAGGCACGGUGUAUGGUUCUCUGAAAAUUUCAGUUCCAGUGCUUUGUGGCAGGUCCUCAAAGAUCAUGCAGGUUUGACCUCCUUUGAAUUCAGAAAUAGAAAGAAGAAAGUUACAUUUGCUGUGAGGCUGGAAUACAUCAAAAGCACACAAAAGGGAACUUAAUCUGAGGUUUGUGUUGGAAAACCGGUUUACAAAAAAGUUGUUUAAAAUCUGUGGAAGGUAAAUGGAAGAGCUGCAAUUACAUUCUGACUAAGACAUGUCUUACCUGGGCUUUAUAAACAAAAAUCCCUCGGAAAAUGUAAAACUUGAAAAAGGAGAUUUACAAAGGUUGGAUGUGAUCAUGUACCCCCAACAGGUACAGAGGUAAGGUUCAGAUUAAUUUCAAAUAAUUGACAAAUGUAUGGUUCUUCUUGGUUAAAAUACAAUUGCUGUAGCAAAUAUACAUAUUACAGACCUCUACAUACAUAUUUUUGUGUGUGCGUGCUUUCUAUAGAGAAGUACUCACUUGCUUUUGGUUUGUCUAGCCCUUUUGGCCAGCGGCCUAGACCUUCCAGCCUAAGCAAUAUAAUACUUUAACCUGUUAAACCCAGCACAAGGAAAAAUAAUUUCUAACAGCAUGAGGAAAAAAUUAUUUAUUAAUGUAGGUUGUUUUCUUUUUUUUUUUUUUUUCCAGCAAAAAGGGUAGAGGUCUGCAUGUUUAUAAAUAAAAUUGACUUCAGUGUACUGCUGAGGAGAAGC